This is a long non-coding RNA of Passer domesticus (house sparrow), 292 nucleotides long. RefSeq lists it as uncharacterized. NCBI's taxonomy places the organism in Eukaryota, Metazoa, Chordata, Aves, Passeriformes, Passeridae. The transcript has 2 exons. The record is from RefSeq and is a predicted model, not a curated record.
GGAGCUGCGAGCGCGGCUGUGGGCGGGGGACACCGGGAACCGGACACCGGGCACCGGACACCGGACACCAUCACCCGCAGGGAAAACAGUGACCAGGGAGCCCAGGCUCAGAGGUUGGAUGCUUUAUUCACUGUCUCUGCUUGCUUAUCAACACCUGGCUGCCAGAACUGAAAUAAUUACCACACUGAAAUAAUCCCUCAAACAGCAUCAGCCCCAAAUGCACCUCCCCGGGCUCACCCCAGCAGUGCAUUUUUCCUGUCUUUAAAUAUGGAAUAAUAAAAGAUAAACUCCA